GCAGGUUAGAGCCUGGCAAUGCCGUUUGGGUGUGUGACUCUGGGCGACAAGAAGAACUAUAACCAGCCAUCGGAGGUGACUGACAGAUAUGAUUUGGGACAGGUCAUCAAGACUGAGGAGUUCUGUGAAAUCUUCCGGGCCAAGGACAAGACGACAGGCAAGCUGCACACCUGCAAGAAGUUCCAGAAGCGGGACGGCCGCAAGGUGCGGAAAGCUGCCAAGAACGAGAUAGGCAUCCUCAAGAUGGUGAAGCAUCCCAACAUCCUACAGCUGGUGGAUGUGUUUGUGACCCGCAAGGAGUACUUUAUCUUCCUGGAGCUGUGAGUGUGGGUCUGGGGACCCAAGAUUCCCCAGCGCCCAGGGCUUUCACCUGUCCCACCCUCUGCAGCUAAGGAAACCCCCUUUCUGGACCCUUGGCGUCCCAGGUCCCUGUGCCUUGCUCAGCCAGCUGCCUGGCGUAGGCAGCUCACCCAAGUGCUCCUGCCCUACCCCUGAUUCUGCCCACGCCAGGCUCAGGGGCUGGUGUCCCUCAGGGCCACGGGGAGGGAGGUGUUUGACUGGAUCCUGGACCAGGGCUACUACUCGGAGCGAGACACAAGCAACGUGGUACGGCAAGUCCUGGAGGCCGUGGCCUAUUUGCACUCACUCAAGAUCGUGCACAGGAAUCUCAAGCUGGAGAACCUGGUUUACUACAACCGGCUGAAGAACUCGAAGAUUGUCAUCAGUGACUUCCAUCUGGCUAAGCUAGAAAAUGGCCUCAUCAAGGAGCCCUGUGGGACCCCCGAGUAUCUGGCCCCAGAAGUGGUAGGCCGGCAGCGGUAUGGACGCCCUGUGGACUGCUGGGCCAUUGGAGUCAUCAUGUACAUCCUGCUUUCAGGCAACCCACCUUUCUAUGAGGAGGUGGAAGAAGAUGAUUAUGAGAACCAUGAUAAGAAUCUCUUCCGCAAGAUCCUGGCUGGUGACUAUGAGUUUGACUCUCCAUAUUGGGAUGAUAUUUCGCAGGCAGCCAAAGACUUGGUCACAAGGCUGAUGGAGGUGGAGCAAGACCAGCGGAUCACUGCA
Molecule: small RNA, 1062 nt
Filed under: Pan troglodytes (chimpanzee)
Lineage: Eukaryota; Metazoa; Chordata; Mammalia; Primates; Hominidae
Description: retained intron
Source: RNAcentral